This 486-nucleotide ribosomal RNA is filed under the name uncultured bacterium. RNAcentral's name for it is "partial 16S ribosomal RNA". It matches the Rfam family "Bacterial small subunit ribosomal RNA", at positions 30 to 507 of the family's 1533-position model. The record is from RNAcentral.
AUUGAACGCUGGCGGCAUGCCUUACACAUGCCAGUCGAACGGCAGCACGGGUGCUUGCCCCUGGUGGCGAGUGGCGAACGGGUGAGUAAUACAUCGGAACAUGUCCUGUAGUGGGGGAUAGCCCGGCGAAAGCCGGAUUAAUACCGCAUACGAUCUACGGAUGAAAGCGGGGGACCUUCGGGCCUCGCGCUAUAGGGUUGGCCGAUGGCUGAUUAGCUAGUUGGUGGGGUAAAGGCCUACCAAGGCGACGAUCAGUAGCUGGUCUGAGAGGGCGACCAGCCACACUGGGACUGAGACACGGCCCAGACUCCUACGGGAGGCAGCAGUGGGGAAUUUUGGACAAUGGGCGAAAGCCUGAUCCAGCAAUGCCGCGUGUGUGAAGAAGGCCUUCGGGUUGUAAAGCACUUUUGUCCGGAAAGAAAUCCUUGGCCCUAAUACGGUCGGGGGAUGACGGUACCGGAAGAAUAAGCACCGGCUAACUACGUG